AGAGUUUGAUCCUGGCUCAGAACGAACGCUGGCGGCAGGCCUAACACAUGCAAGUCGAACGCUCGUAGCAAUACGGGAGUGGCAGACGGGUGAGUAACACGUGGGAACGUACCCUUCGGUUCGGGAUAACUCAGGGAAACUUGAGCUAAUACCGGAUACGUCCGAGAGGAGAAAGGUUUACUGCCGAAGGAUCGGCCCGCGUCUGAUUAGCUAGUUGGUGAGGUAACGGCUUACCAAGGCUAUGACGGUUAGCGGAUCUGAGAGGAUGACCCGCCACACUGGGACUGCGACACGGCCCAGACUCCUACGGGAGGCAGCAGUUUGGAAUUUUGGACAAUGGACGAAAGUCUGAUCCAGCGACGCCGCGUGGACGAAGAAGGUUUUCGGAUUGUAAAGUCCUUUUGGCAGGGAACAAUUUUGAGUGUACCUGCAGAAUAAGAGGUUGCUAACUCUGUGCCAGCCGCCGCGGUAAUAC
RNAcentral lists this ribosomal RNA (475 nucleotides) under uncultured bacterium. RNAcentral's name for it is "bacterial SSU rRNA". It matches the Rfam family "Bacterial small subunit ribosomal RNA", at positions 8 to 526 of the family's 1533-position model. The record is from RNAcentral.